AAGGAUCAUUUCUGAAGGCUUUUUGCCAAAACCACUGUGAACAGCUUAGACUUCGGUCUUUGCAAUUGCUUGGGUGUCGAAAGGCGCCCAAUCUUUAAAACUUUUAUAUUUGUUCUGAAACAAUGAAAAUUUAAAACUUUCAACAACGGAUCUCUUGGUUCUCGUAUCGAUGAAGAACGCAGCAAAGCGCGAUAGGUAAUGCGAAUUGCAGACGUGAGUCAUUGAAUUUUUGAACGCAUAUUGCGCUAUUAGUUUGUCUAAUAGCAUGCUUGUUGGAGUGAUAAUCUUCCUCUCAACCAUUUUUGGUAUGAGGUCUUGCUCCUUUUAGGAGUUAAAAUCAUGGAAGUGCACACGUUAAUUAACUCUGUGCAGUUAUACACUUUUCAUCCUCCAAUCAAGCAAGGUUACCCGCUGAACUUAAGCAUAUCAAUAAGCGGAGGAA
This 442-nucleotide ribosomal RNA is filed under the name Starmerella bacillaris. RNAcentral's name for it is "eukaryotic LSU rRNA". The stretch from base 135 to 283 matches the Rfam family "5.8S ribosomal RNA". The record is from RNAcentral. Lineage: Eukaryota; Fungi; Ascomycota; Dipodascomycetes; Dipodascales; Trichomonascaceae.